This 1061-nucleotide long non-coding RNA is filed under the name Equus asinus (donkey). Its description in RNAcentral is "lncRNA (ENSEASG00005028833.1)". Lineage: Eukaryota; Metazoa; Chordata; Mammalia; Perissodactyla; Equidae. The record is from RNAcentral.
UGAAACUUGCUGCGAGAUGGCCUCUGCUGCCAACUUCGUUCUUUAAAUACAGAGCAAGGGGAGGGCCGUCCGGUGGCCCAGCGGUUAAGUGCACACGUUCUGCUUCUGCGCCUGGGGUUCCCCAGUUCGGAUCCCUGGGGUUCGUUGGUUUGGAUCCCAACUGCGGACAUAGCACCGCUUGACAAGCCAUGCUGUGGCAGGUGUCCCACAUAUAAAGUAGAGGAAGAUGGGCACGGAUGUUAGCUCAGGGCCAGUCUUCCUCAGCAAAAAGAGGAGGGUUGGCAGCAGUUAGCUCAGGGCUAAACUUCCUUAAAAAAAAAUACAGAGCUAGGAACAUCAGUACGAACUCAUGUUUAGCUUAAUAUAAACACAGAUAGGUAAAUAUAGGAAUAAGUAGAUAUGUGUUAUACAAAGGGUUAGGAUUGAAGGAGAUUAGGACAUGCCACCCCAAAAUAUGCCGCUUUGGAACACUGAUUAUUUUGAGCUGAAGGCACCUGAAAAACAGUGAAUGCAGGGAGAGGCUGUCUCUGAACUCCCCUUAUCUGCCUAAAGACAGAUCCUCCAAGAGGAAUUCAAUCGUCAUCAACCCCCUCCCUGGGAGUCUCAUCAACCAGGGAAGAGAUGAGACUAGAAGUCGACACCACAGCCAGACAAACUGUCACAAACCAUCGUACCUCCCAUCUAGUCUUCUAAGAGCCCAUCAUCUUUCCUAAAAAUCAGGCCCAGCUAUCGAAUCUAGGAGGUUGAAGGGAAAGUCUUUCCUCCACUCCAGCAUACACUCAUAUAUUUCCAAGCUGAGAGCACCCACAAGUAAAAACACCCCAGAAGUCACCAGCACCAGGCCUUUGUUUCUGACACCAUCCUCUAAAAACAGGAGCCCAGGCUCUCGGGAGAAGUGGCCGAUUCUAGGGCUGGGCAGGGAAUAGACUAGAUGAGCCUGGGAUAUCCUGCAGUGCCAGAAAGUAAGGAAGUGCUGAAAUAUCACUCACACUCACACACACAGAUGGGGUAUAGGAGCCAAGUGAAAGAGCUCCCCAUGACCAAAGCUGGGAUAAUUGGAG